Long non-coding RNA from Mus musculus (house mouse), 903 nucleotides. RefSeq annotates it as predicted gene, 33845. The record is from RefSeq and is a predicted model, not a curated record. The transcript has 4 exons. NCBI's taxonomy places the organism in Eukaryota, Metazoa, Chordata, Mammalia, Rodentia, Muridae.
GACAACCUAAGGAAGGCAGAACCAAAAAGCAGCAGUACUAAGUGCUGUAGCUUUGGUCGGGAGCAGCCAGCGGCCAGGGUGCUCAACCUGAGCAGUGCAACCUCUGUAAGCAUUUAUUGGCAGCCGUAGGACAGCAAGCGCGUCUACGCAAACAGAGGGAUGAGAGAGCUGAGACCUGAACACCUGUUUCUUCUGUGGCCACAUCCUGGAGAGCAAGGCAGAAAGGUGUCGUGUUCCACAGCUCUAGGAGCGGGUCUGGCUGCCAGAGUGUCACCAUCCUUCAUUAACUAAGGGCCAGGAAGUUUCAUGAUAAAGACAAGCCUACCGCAGAUCUUUCCUACCCCACACGAACGUGGUCCCCGAGCAGAUAAGAUACCAAACGUUAUACAGCACAGGCACUGCCAGUAGCCAAGGUGGGGUGGCAUGGUCUUUGUUUGUAAGACUACUAACUAACCACCCAUUCAGCCUGAGACAAAAAUCCAGGAUACUCUUGGUGGACAUCGGGAGAACGGGCUUUCCUAGCCUUGGAGUCAAACAGGGCCUAGGAUCAGGGACCAGAGACAGGCGCCAAGCAAGGGCCCUGGGCUGAGAUGAGCUACACCUUAGUUCCUAGCCUCUGGCCACAUCCUCUACCCAAAGGCUCUGCAGAUCUCAUGACUCUCACCUGCUCUCCUCCUGACUCUCACAAACCUGCUUCCUGAUAACUCUACCUCUUAUCACCGAUGUAUGAUUUCAUGCAGUAAUAUUCACACAUUUUAUUGUUGUUUUGCUUUAUUUCUGGGUUCUGGGGAUCGAACCUAGGACUUGCAAACCUCUGAGCCAAGCCCCCAGAGCCCUUACUCAUACACUUUAAACUCCGUAUCUGUGGAUUCUUCUCCCUGCACGCAGCCAUGGACAAAUACU